AGUUGUACUUCUAGAAAUGUUAUCUGGCCUGCGAGCUAUAGACAAGAAUAGGCCUUCUGGGCAACAUAACCUGGUGGAGUGGGCAAAACCUUACCUGACAAACAAACGCAGAAUUUUCCGUGUACUGGACACACGUCUUAAUGGUCAGUACUCCCUCAGUCGGGCACAAAAGUUGGCUAACCUUGCACUUCAAUGCGUAGAUGAACCAAAGCUCAGACCAAAUAUGGAUGAGGUGGUAAAAGCAUUGGAGGAGCUUCAAGAAUCAAAUAAAAAAGAGAACAAUCCAAUUACUCACAAGGAGAACAAUGGUGGACGCAUUGCAUAUCCACGGCCUUCUGCAUCCCCG
RNAcentral lists this unclassified non-coding RNA (346 nucleotides) under Hevea brasiliensis (rubber tree). Lineage: Eukaryota; Viridiplantae; Streptophyta; Magnoliopsida; Malpighiales; Euphorbiaceae. The record is from RNAcentral.